GUGAGGUAACGGCUCACCAAGGCAGCGACGGGUAGCCGGUCUGAGAGGAUGGUCGGCCACACUGGGACUGAGACACUGCCCAGACUCCUACGGGAGGCUGCAGUCGAGAAUCUUCCGCAAUGGACGAAAGUCUGACGGAGCGACGCCGCGUGGAGGAUGAAGGCCCUCGGGUUGUAAACUCCUGUCAGGGUUCAAAGAAAGGGCUGUAUCAAUAUUUGCAGUCUUGACAUUAGGCCCAAAGGAAGCACCGGCUAACUCUGUGCCAGCAGCCGCGGUAAGACAGAGGGUGCAAACGUUGCUCGGAAUCACUGGGCAUAAAGCGCACGCAGGCGGCCGUGUCAGUGCGGUGUGAAAGCCCCCGGCUCAACCGGGGAACUGCACCGCAUACUGUACGGCUCGAGCUUGAGAGGGGAGAGUGGAACUCCUGGUGGAGCGGUGGAAUUCGUAGAUAUCAGGAGGAACGCCGGAGGUGAAGACGACUCUCUGGCUCAAUGCUGACGCUGAGGUGCGAAAGCUAGGGGAGCGAACGGGAUUAGAUACCCCGGUAGUCCUAGCCCUAAACGAUGGGCACUAGCUAGGGGGGAUUCCUAUAGUCCUCCCUGGCGAAGCAAAUGUGUUAAGUG
RNAcentral lists this ribosomal RNA (623 nucleotides) under uncultured Actinobacteridae bacterium. Its description in RNAcentral is "bacterial SSU rRNA". It matches the Rfam family "Bacterial small subunit ribosomal RNA", at positions 252 to 866 of the family's 1533-position model. The record is from RNAcentral. Lineage: Bacteria; Bacillati; Actinomycetota; Actinomycetes.